This 332-nucleotide unclassified non-coding RNA is filed under the name uncultured fungus. Its description in RNAcentral is "sequence contains ITS1". Lineage: Eukaryota; Fungi. The record is from RNAcentral.
AAUACGAUCGCCGGCCUCUCCCGCGGGAUCGCUUUUGUAGUCAUCUUGCCGUGCGUGGAUCACCAGAGCGGAACCAUCGGAAUCGAAAAGAUUGUUCUUACCCUGUUUUAGAGAGAGCUGCGGGGCAAUGAAUUCCACCGUCAACGCGCCGUUCUCAGGUACAUGCAGGUUGGGAAGAUCCCCUGCGUGACCUCCGCUGCUGUCGAGAAAACCAUGUUUCUUACCCUGAGGAUUAAAGUGUCCCCCAGCCGAUGUGAAAGGCGGUUCGCAUUUUCCCACCUCGUGAACGUGGAAGGCGUGAGUUCCGGCCGAUACGCGCGCUGUCUUUUGCG